CAUGCAAGUCGAACGAGACCUUCGGGGUCUAGUGGCGCACGGGUGCGUAACGCGUGGGAUCUGCCCUUUGCUUCGGAAUAACAGUUAGAAAUGACUGCUAAUACCGGAUGAUGUCGUAAGACCAAAGAUUUAUCGGCAAAGGAUGAACCCGCGUAGGAUUAGCUAGUUGGUGGGGUAAAGGCCUACCAAGGCGACGAUCCUUAGCUGGUCUGAGAGGAUGAUCAGCCACACUGGGACUGAGACACGGCCCAGACUCCUACGGGAGGCAGCAGUGGGGAAUAUUGGACAAUGGGCGAAAGCCUGAUCCAGCAAUGCCGCGUGAGUGAUGAAGGCCUUCGGGUUGUAAAGCUCUUUUACCAGGGAUGAUAAUGACAGUACCUGGAGAAUAAGCUCCGGCUAACUCCGUG
RNAcentral lists this ribosomal RNA (407 nucleotides) under uncultured bacterium. RNAcentral's name for it is "bacterial SSU rRNA". It matches the Rfam family "Bacterial small subunit ribosomal RNA", at positions 54 to 507 of the family's 1533-position model. The record is from RNAcentral.